Molecule: long non-coding RNA, 1324 nt
Organism: Manduca sexta (tobacco hornworm)
Lineage: Eukaryota; Metazoa; Arthropoda; Insecta; Lepidoptera; Sphingidae
Exons: 2
Source: RefSeq, a predicted model, not a curated record
AUAAAACUGCGCAGCAUAAUUGUAUCGACUGGUGAGGGAUAAACAUUGCUUGUCAAUGGAUACCCUCGAAACCCCACUCCACUUACUAUAAUGUGCAGUGCGGCCAGUUAGCAAAUACAUUUAACUUACAACAAGGUUGAUAAGGUCGAGCAAGUACGAGAUGAGCGCCAAGGCCUGCGGGAACGCGUGCAGCGUGUUGACAGUCUUCAGCCAAGAUUUGGAAACAGUCCCUGGAUACAGCAGCCGUUUAGAGAGAUGCGCUUAGCAUCCUUAAUAAGUGAGGUCAGCAGAGCCCCGGUGAUGUCGACAAACCGCGCGAUGGUGAGCGGGCGAAUGAGCGCCAUGCCGCCCGCGCCGGCGCCCCCGGCCCGGCUCGCGAGCGCCUCCUGCACGCGCGCGCACUCCGACCGCUGCCAGGCCACGUUUGAUAUUGGUCUGGUAACAAGCAUAAACAUUUCAUUAUCUCCGGGUUAGUAUCACAAAAAUCAGGUUGUUGUUGUUAACUUUAAUAUGUAUUAAAAUUUAAAAGCAAAAUUAUUUAUGAUUGAAGUUUUUACAGUAGUUUGUUGUAGAAAGCUGCCUAGCUAUGUCUAUUAAUAUAAUAUUAAAAUAUGGAUUUUUUCAGACUAUGAAAUUGUCACAUAGAUUUAUAUGUGAUGGGAUAGGAAAGUAUUAGAUUGUUGUGGACAAUUUAAUUACCUUUGAUCCUUAACAGUGACAAAAGCUAAAGCUCUUUCCAAUGAGGUUUGCCAGGUGCGGUUGGAGCGGUCUUGAGAUGGUGUUCUCUGGAAUAUAAUUAAAUAAAAUAAUGAACAUUUAGAUUAUAUUCAGUACAUGUACAUUGUGGUUACUUCUUACACAGAGUUAAUAUCUGCUCUCUUUUAUUGCAUAUUAUAUUAAAAUUCUAGACAAACCCAAAAUCUAUUUAUAAAGCUUCUGUUUUAUUCCAACACACAGUUCCAAUAACAUAUUAUUUUACCCAACAAUAUAAAUGCCAGAUAAAAGUUAAAAAUAAAUCAUUCAGAAACCAUACACUUCACAACUUACCACAGGAGUAGUAGUGGUCCUGGAGUACUGGCUGGAGCGGGACUGCAGCGGUGUCAUGCAUGACUGGCCGAACCUCUCUGCUUGUUGGGAACGAGACCUCUGUGCCAAACAUUAGUUAUGUGCUGUGUUAUUGGUGCCAGGACAUUUACAUGCAAUGUUUCAUGAUUGUUAAACUGUUAUGGUCUUAUGUUAUGAAAUUUUUUAUUGAUUUUCAUUUGUAUUAUUAGAAUAUUUAUAAGAUAAUAGCCUAGAAGAUACAUGUUACACAUUGAAUUAA